AUGUGGUACUUCAUUGUAAUUAACUCGCCUGUGUGGGACGGUGGCGCCGCAACCUUAGAGGCAUUGGUGGCGCACCUCCUGGUGUGGAUGAGGUCCAGCAAAGGGUUCGAGGGCCGGUACAACUUCUCCGUCUAUGACGGCGCAGACGAGAUGGUGUUCCGGGUUGAUAACUGCUUACGCCGCCGGAAACUCUUCGCCCGCGAGCAGACCCUCAUGGGACUUCAACGGCGCGCUGCUCUUCCCCAUGAGGCUGCUACUCGCAACGCCACAGGAGGCCGCCAAGAACCCAUCCUCGCCGUCGCCGCUUGGUGCAGGGGAUGCCGCCAAGAUCCCCCAUCCUUGCCGCCACGGCUCGGCGCACAGGAGGCGCCAGGAGCCUCGCCCUAG
RNAcentral lists this ribosomal RNA (387 nucleotides) under Triticum aestivum (bread wheat). Its description in RNAcentral is "partial small subunit ribosomal RNA". Lineage: Eukaryota; Viridiplantae; Streptophyta; Magnoliopsida; Poales; Poaceae. The record is from RNAcentral.